AUGUAGAUAGCUUAAUUUUUUCUUAUUUUUAAAGGAAAAAUUCACUCAUUUCGUAAGUUUAUGAAUCAAGUUAUAGUGUAAAAUUUGGGACAGUGAGUAGAAGCUGCUCUUAGAUUGAGGUUGAGAUGUUGUAAAUCUGUGGGAGCUUUUUGCUUGUUUCACAUUUCAGUUGAUUAUUUGUACUCUCGAGAUUGGCAUUAGGGUUUAAUCUCUAACUUCUUAUAGCCAUCUAGAAUUUAGGGGUUUGUUUUAGUGGACGAGAGUGUAGCUGUAAUUUUGGGAGUCCUUGUGCAGAGGUUAGGUCACCACUUUCAGUUUGUUUUCUUGAUACUUUAAAAUCUUUAUUUAUUGCGGUCGUUUUUGUAAAUCUUUGGUUAGGCGUCAUUAUUAGAUGACAAUGCUUGAAAAGAUCCGAAACUGUAGAUUGAAAACAUUAAUAGCGUCCUUUAUGAAGAAUAAAAUUAUUACCAGGGAAGUGGAUUAAUGGCCUUGAAUGCACAAUACUAGGUAUUGAAUCCGAAUAAUCUCCCUUGCCCGUACUGGUGGUACCUACAUGGUCUUCUGCCUGAACUUCCCGCCAAUCUUCAGGGUGCUCCAAGUUCUUCACAUUAGUUGGGUGCGGGGAACUUGAAGAGGGAAAAAAAGAGAGAGAGAGAGCUCCGGAGGGUGUGAUAUGCGGUGAAAUUGGCAUUACCUGUAAGAUUUAACCAAGUAAUAGCUAGAAGGAACAAUGGAAGUGAAAGAAAUUGGGUGAGUUGUGCAAGACUGUGUCUUUUUUCUUUCGUUUUUGGUAAAAUUUUUUUUUUUUUAAAGAUUAUCAUAAUGAGAACAAGACUUAGUUUGUUGUUGGCAGUUUUUAUAUUUACAUACCAUGUGUGUUUGUUGAUUGCUGAAAUAUGCUCUGAACCAUAUAAUUGGCAAAAUGUGACUUGAAACAUGCACAUGUAUUCAGAUUCUAAAAUAUUAGCACUAUCUGUGCUAUUUGCUAUACUACUGUACUUCAGUUUCAACAGCUGAAAUGGUUUUGCAUUU
Molecule: long non-coding RNA, 1032 nt
Filed under: Olea europaea (common olive)
Lineage: Eukaryota; Viridiplantae; Streptophyta; Magnoliopsida; Lamiales; Oleaceae
Description: long non-coding RNA (OEUR_LNC015098)
Source: RNAcentral